This 471-nucleotide ribosomal RNA is filed under the name Pseudomonas sp. 'Disko Bay 31'. RNAcentral describes it as "bacterial SSU rRNA". It matches the Rfam family "Bacterial small subunit ribosomal RNA", at positions 20 to 486 of the family's 1533-position model. The record is from RNAcentral. Lineage: Bacteria; Pseudomonadati; Pseudomonadota; Gammaproteobacteria; Pseudomonadales; Pseudomonadaceae.
UGGCUCAGAUUGAACGCUGGCGGCAGGCCUAACACAUGCAAGUCGAGCGGCAGCACGGGUACUUGUACCUGGUGGCGAGCGGCGGACGGGUGAGUAAUGCCUAGGAAUCUGCCUGGUAGUGGGGGAUAACGCUCGGAAACGGACGCUAAUACCGCAUACGUCCUACGGGAGAAAGCAGGGGACCUUCGGGCCUUGCGCUAUCAGAUGAGCCUAGGUCGGAUUAGCUAGUUGGUGAGGUAAUGGCUCACCAAGGCGACGAUCCGUAACUGGUCUGAGAGGAUGAUCAGUCACACUGGAACUGAGACACGGUCCAGACUCCUACGGGAGGCAGCAGUGGGGAAUAUUGGACAAUGGGCGAAAGCCUGAUCCAGCCAUGCCGCGUGUGUGAAGAAGGUCUUCGGAUUGUAAAGCACUUUAAGUUGGGAGGAAGGGCAGUAAAUUAAUACUUUGCUGUUUGACGUACCGACAGAA